Molecule: ribosomal RNA, 733 nt
Filed under: uncultured bacterium
Lineage: Bacteria
Description: bacterial SSU rRNA
Rfam family: Bacterial small subunit ribosomal RNA
Source: RNAcentral
UGCAAGUCGACGAGAAACGCCUUCGGGCGUGAGUAGAGUGGCGCACGGGUGAGUAACGCGUGGGAACCUACCCUGAGGUACGGAAUAACGGCUGGAAACGGCUGCUAAUACCGUAUGUGCCCUACGGGGGAAAGAUUUAUCGCCUUGGGACGGGCCCGCGUCGGAUUAGCUUGUUGGUGGGGUAACGGCCUACCAAGGCUCCGAUCCGUAGCUGGUCUGAGGGGAUGAUCAGCCACACUGGAACUGAGACACGGUCCAGACUCCUACGGGAGGCAGCAGUGGGGAAUGUUGCGCAAUGGGGGAAACCCUGACGCAGCCAUGCCGCGUGAGUGAAGAAGGUCUUCGGAUUGUAAAGCUCUUUCAACGGGGAAGAUGAUGACGGUACCCGUAGAAGAAGCCCCGGCUAACUUCGUGCCAGCAGCCGCGGUAAUACGAAGGGGGCUAGCGUUGUUCGGAAUUACUGGGCGUAAAGGGCGUGUAGGCGGUGCGAUCAGUCAGAGGUGAAAGCCCCGGGCUCAACCUGGGAAUUGCCUUUGAUACUGUCGCACUAGAGUUCGGGAGAGGGUAGUGGAAUUCCCAGUGUAGAGGUGAAAUUCGUAGAUAUUGGGAAGAACACCGGUGGCGAAGGCGGCUACCUGGACCGAUACUGACGCUGAGGCGCGAAAGCGUGGGGAGCAAACAGGAUUAGAUACCCUGGUAGUCCACGCCGUAAACGAUGUCUGCUAGUCGUUGG